CCCUUAGAUGUUCUGGGCCGCACACGCGCUACACUGAAGGAGGCAGCGUGUACUCCUGGAUCGAAAGAUUUGGGUAACCCGCGAAUCUCCUUCGUGCUAGGGAUUGAGGUUUGCAAUUAUUCAUCUUCAACGAGGAAUUCCUAGUAAACGCAAGUCAUCAGCUUGCAUUGAUUACGUCCCUGCCCUUUGUACACACCGCCCGUCGCACCUACCGAUUGAAUGGUCCGGUGAAAUCUUCGGAUCUGAGAGAUGUCUGAUUAAUUUCGGACGCCUUUUGGAAAAGUUGCUUAAACCUUACCAUUUAGAGGAAGGUGAAGUCGUAACA
Molecule: ribosomal RNA, 325 nt
Filed under: uncultured eukaryote
Lineage: Eukaryota
Description: partial 18S ribosomal RNA
Rfam family: Eukaryotic small subunit ribosomal RNA
Source: RNAcentral